AUGGUUUCAAAUAUCUAUCACCUGAGUGAAAAAUUAUAAUGAUAAUAAUAGAUUAGUGAUCAAGCAUUUCAUCUUUUAUAAGCCAAUUUUGACCCUUUUUCACAUCUUCAGUUGUCAUGAACUAAGGCAAUACAAUUGACAUCAAGCAUGCAGAUAAUAGAUGACUGAUUAGUAACAUUUAAAGUCUCAGAGAACAACAUAAAGGAUUUGAGUGGAGACACGGACACAUACCUAUGGACCUUGACAUUGCAAG
RNAcentral lists this unclassified non-coding RNA (253 nucleotides) under Hevea brasiliensis (rubber tree). The record is from RNAcentral. Lineage: Eukaryota; Viridiplantae; Streptophyta; Magnoliopsida; Malpighiales; Euphorbiaceae.